AUUGAACGCUGGCGGCAGGCCUAACACAUGCAAGUCGAACGGUAACAGGGAUCAGCUUGCUGAUUCGCUGACGAGUGGCGGACGGGUGAGUAAUGUCUGGGAAACUGCCUGAUGGAGGGGGAGAACUACUGGAAACGGUAGCUAAUACAGCAUAACGUCGCAAGACCAAAGAGGGGGACCUUCGGGCCUCUUGCGAUCGGAUGUGCCCAGAUGGGAUUAGCUAGUAGGUGGGGUAACGGCUCACCUAGGCGACGAUCCCUAGCUGGUCUGAGAGGAUGACCAGCCACACUGGAACUGAGACACGGUCCAGACUCCUACGGGAGGCAGCAGUGGGGAAUAUUGCACAAUGGGCGCAAGCCUGAUGCAGCCAUGCCGCGUGUAUGAAGAAGGCCUUCGGGUUGUAAAGUACCUUCAGCGGGGAGGAAGGGAGUAAAGUUAAUACCUUGGCUCAUUGACGUUACCCGCAGAAGAAGCACCGGCUAACUCCGUG
RNAcentral lists this ribosomal RNA (490 nucleotides) under uncultured bacterium. RNAcentral describes it as "partial 16S ribosomal RNA". It matches the Rfam family "Bacterial small subunit ribosomal RNA", at positions 30 to 507 of the family's 1533-position model. The record is from RNAcentral.